AGACAGGAAGGAAAAUCGUAAGAGCAGUAUGACACAGCUAUUGGUCACGUCUACAAGAUGCCCGACAGGCACCGUUACCGCCGGCUGGGGCUCCCAGGGUGUGUGCCCAGAACUCUGAGAAGGUCAGGAGAUGAGGGUGAUGCUGGGAGCUUUUCCUAGGACCCAGAUGACAGGUGCCAGCCCCUGGUCUCACCCUUGGCCCAGCUCCGGAUACUGGGGCCCCCGCACCCUUGUUCUCUUCCUUCUAGGGCGGUGGUUCUCCCUGCAGUGAAGCUGGCCUGGAUCUGCUCCCCCAGGGUGUCAGCAGAUGAGGCUGGGGAAGGGCUGCUCAAAGCUCCGGCUGGGCGAGACAGCAGCACCCCUCCCGUCAGUAAAGGCCGACAAGGACAACGCAGGACACCUUUGGCAAGUGAGCACAGGAAAUCGGAAGCUCGGAAGAGGAGGGUCCAGGUGUGCUCAAGUGACCACAGGGACGCGUAUCAGGGCGUGGGGUAUGCACAGCACAUGGACAGGCAUUGCAGCACAGAGGUGUCCAGGAGGGAGAGCAAGAGCACAUUAAGGCCUCAUCAAGGAUGGAGAGGUGCAGUGGGAUGGAGGAGGCCAGAAGCCAGUCCAUGGAAUGCGCAGAUAUGCCUCUGGCCCUGCAGUCCGGGAGGGCCACCCCAGAUGUCAGGAUCAGCCCUUCCCUUCUUCCAGGACUCUGGAAAGCUCGGCAGAGGAGGUGAUAUGGCUCUUCAGCUGAGGUGGCAGGCACACAAAAGGCCAAACGAGGGCAGUUAUCACUUGUGAUUCUGAGCGAUGUGACGAGCGAGGUCCUGGACGCUGGCCAAGAGAAGUAGCAGCACGGAACUCAGGAAGUCAAGUUCUCGGUGAAGACCGUCCGAAGCCACUCCACGCUGCCUCCUUGAAUCCCAGCCUCGCCCUGGAAGGCCAGGCCUGAGCGCCCACUUGAUUCUGCUUUAACAUCCCACCACGGCCCCUACUCCCCACCAGCACACGACCCCAGGCACAGAUCCAGCACGGCUGAGACUGAGAGUCAGACAGACCCUGGAGAGCAGCCCUGUGCCUCUGGGAAGCCCAAGUCCACUGUCAAGGCCUCAAGCGGUACCGGGACGGAACAGCUCCCCGGUCACUGGGUGACUGGGACCUGAAUACGCUCAGUGCCGGCCCAGCCAAGAGACCACACGCAGACGACCCUGACUUUUCGAAAGCGGCGCUGUAGUUUGUCCCCCGUGCUUGGGGGCCACUGCACACACAGGCACACAGACCCGACGCCCCGGGGUGCGCACGGCGUCGCG
Chinchilla lanigera (long-tailed chinchilla) is the source of this 1298-nucleotide long non-coding RNA. RefSeq lists it as uncharacterized. The transcript is spliced from 3 exons. NCBI's taxonomy places the organism in Eukaryota, Metazoa, Chordata, Mammalia, Rodentia, Chinchillidae. The record is from RefSeq and is a predicted model, not a curated record.